AUGAAUGCUGGCGGCGUGCCUAAGGCAUGCAAGUCGAACGAAUCAUUUACGGUAGCAAUACUUUGAAUGGUUAGUGGCAAACGGGUGCGUAACACAUUGGUACUUGCCUCGUAGUCGGGCAUAACGUUUCGAAAGGAACGCUAAUUCCACGAUGGUCUCGCAAGAGUAAAGUCGCAAGACGCUACGAGAGAGGCCUAUGGCCUAUCAGCUAGUUGGUGAGGUAAUGGCUCACCAAGGCUAUAACGGGUAGGGGGUGUGAGAGCACGACCCCCCUCACUGGGACUGAGACACUGCCCAGACACCUACGGGUGGCUGCAGUCUGGAAUAUUCGGCAAUGGGCGAAAGCCUGACCGAGCGACGCCGCGUGCAGGAAUAAGGGCUUCGGUCCGUAAACUGCUUUUGUCAGGGACGAAUCAUGACGGUACCUGAAGAAUAAGAGGUUGCUAACUCUGU
This 453-nucleotide ribosomal RNA is filed under the name uncultured bacterium. Its description in RNAcentral is "bacterial SSU rRNA". It matches the Rfam family "Bacterial small subunit ribosomal RNA", at positions 29 to 506 of the family's 1533-position model. The record is from RNAcentral.